Molecule: ribosomal RNA, 454 nt
Filed under: uncultured bacterium
Lineage: Bacteria
Description: bacterial SSU rRNA
Rfam family: Bacterial small subunit ribosomal RNA
Source: RNAcentral
AACGAACGCUGGCGGCAUGCCUAACACAUGCAAGUCGAACGGGAUCCUAGCUUGCUAGGUGAGAGUGGCGGACGGGUGAGUAACACGUGGGAAUCUGCCUUUUGGUUCGGGAUAACCGCGGGAAACUGCGGCUAAUACCGAAUGCCCUCGAGAGAGGAAAGAUUUAUCGCCAGAAGAGGAGCCCGCGUCCGAUUAGGUAGUUGGUGGGGUAAAGGCCUACCAAGCCGACGAUCGGUAGCUGGUCUGAGAGGAUGAUCAGCCACACUGGGACUGAGAUACGGCCCAGACUCCUACGGGAGGCAGCAGUGGGGAAUAUUGGACAAUGGGGCAACCCUGAUCCAGCAAUGCCGCGUGAGUGAUGAAGGCCUUAGGGUUGUAAAGCUCUUUUGCCAGGGAAGAUGAUGACUGUACCUGGAGAAUAAGCCCCGGCUAACUUCGUGCCAGCAGCCGCGGU